RNAcentral lists this ribosomal RNA (256 nucleotides) under uncultured bacterium. Its description in RNAcentral is "partial 16S ribosomal RNA". It matches the Rfam family "Bacterial small subunit ribosomal RNA", at positions 521 to 776 of the family's 1533-position model. The record is from RNAcentral.
UAAUACGGAGGGUGCGAGCGUUAAUCGGAAUUACUGGGCGUAAAGCGCGCGUAGGUGGUUUAAUAAGUCGGAUGUGAAAGCCCCGGGCUCAACCUAGGAAUUGCAUUCGAUACUGUUAGGCUAGAGUACGGUAGAGGGGGGUAGAAUUCCCGGUGUAGCGGUGAAAUGCGUAGAUAUCGGGAGGAAUACCAGUGGCGAAGGCGGCCCCCUGGACUGAUACUGACGCUGAGGUGCGAAAGCGUGGGGAGCAAACAGG